RNAcentral lists this long non-coding RNA (1558 nucleotides) under Homo sapiens (human). Its description in RNAcentral is "CDKN2B and CDKN2A antisense cis and trans regulatory RNA 1, transcript variant 23 (CDKN2B-AS1)". The stretch from base 379 to 522 matches the Rfam family "CDKN2B antisense RNA 1 convserved region 3". The record is from RNAcentral. Lineage: Eukaryota; Metazoa; Chordata; Mammalia; Primates; Hominidae.
AGCUACAUCCGUCACCUGACACGGCCCUACCAGGAACAGCCGCGCUCCCGCGGAUUCUGGUGCUGCUCGCGUCCCCGCUCCCCUAUUCCCCUUAUUUUAUUCCUGGCUCCCCUCGUCGAAAGUCUUCCAUUCUUCAAACUAGAUUAUUUAAAAAUGAAAAAGGAAGAAAGGAAAGCGAGGUCAUCUCAUUGCUCUAUCCGCCAAUCAGGAGGCUGAAUGUCAGUUUUGAACUAAAAGCCGCUCCGCUCCUCUUCUAGAUUUGGAAAACAAGCGAAAUUAAACUAAACCGCUGCACGCCUCUGACGCGACAUCUGGACACGGCGCGGCGCUGGCGCUGCCGGAGCUGUCGACCCGGCCUGGCGCCGGACUAGUGUCCCUUUUGAUGAGAAGAAUAAGCCUCAUUCUGAUUCAACAGCAGAGAUCAAAGAAAAGACUUCUGUUUUCUGGCCACCAGAUAUAUGUUAUCUGUGCUUAAAGAAUUGAAAAACACACAUCAAAGGAGAAUUUUCUUGGAAAGAGAGGGUUCAAGCAUCACUGUUAGGUGUGCUGGAAUCCUUUCCCGAGUCAGUACUGCUUUCUAGAAGAAAACCGGGGAGAUCUAUUUGGAAUGUAUCUAACUCCAAAGAAACCAUCAGAGGUAACAGUAGAGACGGGGUUUCACCAUGUUGGCCAGACUGGUCUUGAACUCUCGACCUCGUGAUUCGCCCGCCUCGGCCUCCCAAAGUGCUGGGAUUACAGGUGUGAGACACCACACCCGGCGGAUAGAGAGAAUUUUGACAGGUGAGGAGGUAUUCCAAUGCAAAAGAAUAAUAGGAGCAAAAGCACAGUGGUGAGAAAUUGGAGGGGAACUGUGAAAAUUGCCACAUAGAUUAGAGGCAGGAAAAUAAAGGACGGCUAAGUUUAUAUAGUGAACAGUGAGCCGCAUGGACACAGGUGACUGUUUUCUCCUUUUUGAACCCCUGCUUACUCCAGAGUCACCACCUCUCCUGGCUUUCUGCCAAUCUUCUUGGCCACAGUUUCUCGGUCUUCUUUUCUGGCUUCUCUUCCUUGGCCUGAAUGCUACAUGUUAAGUGAUGUCAGCUUCAGUUUUCUUAACCUCUCUUCUCUUAAGUUGCUAUCAUUUAAAUAUCUUUAAAUAUCAUCUACAUCCAAGUGACCUCUAAACCAGUAAUUUUACCCAUGACCCAUCUCCUCAACUCCGGAUUGUAUAUAAAACUGUCUACUCAACAUCUUCACUUUUGAUGUCUAAAUCUCUAUGUCCAAUUUAGAAUUCUUGAUUCUUUGCUUUCCCUCCCUCCUGGAAAUCCUGCUCUUACCAGUCUUCCCCAUCUUAAUUAAUGAACCUGACAUUCACCUAGUAGCUUAGUCCUCAAAACUAGGGAUUAAUCUAGAUUUAGUCAUUUUUCUUACUCUUGCCAUAUAAUAACAUAUUAUUCUGAGUUUACCUUUACCCGACCCCAAAUAGGUAACUGCUGUUUUUGUUAUAAGAUAGUAAUAUUUGCCUCUGAGUGUAUGUGAAUUAUUUUGAUAAAAAUAAAUAUUAUUUUUAAAAUAUUAA